Molecule: ribosomal RNA, 406 nt
Filed under: uncultured bacterium
Lineage: Bacteria
Description: partial 16S ribosomal RNA
Rfam family: Bacterial small subunit ribosomal RNA
Source: RNAcentral
AUUGAACGCUGGCGGCAGGCCUAACACAUGCAAGUCGAACGAGUGGCGGACGGGUGAGUAAUGUCUGGGAAACUGCCUGAUGGAGGGGGAUAACUACUGGAAACGGUAGCUAAUACCGCAUACCAUCGGAUGUGUCCAGAUGGGAUUAGCUAGUAGGUGGGGUAACGGCUCACCUAGGCGACGAUCCCUAGCUGGUCUGAGAGGAUGACCGGGCACACUGAAACUGAGACACGUUCCAGACUCGUACGGGGGGGAGAAGUGGGGAAUAUUGCACAAUGGACGAAAGUCUGAUGCAGCGACGUCGUGUGGGGGCUGAAGGCUUUCGGGUUGUAAACUCCUUUCGCCCGCGGAAUGGUAGUGGGUAAAGAAGCGCCGGCUAACUACGUGCCAGCAGCCGCGGUAAUAC